Molecule: ribosomal RNA, 2902 nt
Filed under: Klebsiella pneumoniae
Lineage: Bacteria; Pseudomonadati; Pseudomonadota; Gammaproteobacteria; Enterobacterales; Enterobacteriaceae
Description: 23S ribosomal RNA
Rfam family: Bacterial large subunit ribosomal RNA
Source: RNAcentral
GGUUAAGCGACUAAGCGUACACGGUGGAUGCCCUGGCAGUCAGAGGCGAUGAAGGACGUGCUAAUCUGCGAAAAGCGUCGGUAAGGUGAUAUGAACCGUUAUAACCGGCGAUGUCCGAAUGGGGAAACCCAGUGUGAUUCGUCACACUAUCGUUAACUGAAUACAUAGGUUAACGAGGCGAACCGGGGGAACUGAAACAUCUAAGUACCCCGAGGAAAAGAAAUCAACCGAGAUUCCCCCAGUAGCGGCGAGCGAACGGGGAGCAGCCCAGAGUCUGAAUCAGCUUGUGUGUUAGUGGAACGGUCUGGAAAGUCCGACGGUACAGGGUGAUAGUCCCGUACACCAAAAUGCACAGGCUGUGAACUCGAAGAGUAGGGCGGGACACGUGGUAUCCUGUCUGAAUAUGGGGGGACCAUCCUCCAAGGCUAAAUACUCCUGACUGACCGAUAGUGAACCAGUACCGUGAGGGAAAGGCGAAAAGAACCCCGGCGAGGGGAGUGAAAAAGAACCUGAAACCGUGUACGUACAAGCAGUGGGAGCACCUUCGGGUGUGACUGCGUACCUUUUGUAUAAUGGGUCAGCGACUUAUAUUCUGUAGCAAGGUUAACCGUAUAGGGGAGCCGCAGGGAAACCGAGUCUUAACUGGGCGUUAAGUUGCAGGGUAUAGACCCGAAACCCGGUGAUCUAGCCAUGGGCAGGUUGAAGGUUGGGUAACACUAACUGGAGGACCGAACCGACUAAUGUUGAAAAAUUAGCGGAUGACUUGUGGCUGGGGGUGAAAGGCCAAUCAAACCGGGAGAUAGCUGGUUCUCCCCGAAAGCUAUUUAGGUAGCGCCUCGUGAACUCAUCUUCGGGGGUAGAGCACUGUUUCGGCUAGGGGGUCAUCCCGACUUACCAACCCGAUGCAAACUACGAAUACCGAAGAAUGUUAUCACGGGAGACACACGGCGGGUGCUAACGUCCGUCGUGAAGAGGGAAACAACCCAGACCGCCAGCUAAGGUCCCAAAGUCAUGGUUAAGUGGGAAACGAUGUGGGAAGGCACAGACAGCCAGGAUGUUGGCUUAGAAGCAGCCAUCAUUUAAAGAAAGCGUAAUAGCUCACUGGUCGAGUCGGCCUGCGCGGAAGAUGUAACGGGGCUAAACCAUGCACCGAAGCUGCGGCAGCGACACUAUGUGUUGUUGGGUAGGGGAGCGUUCUGUAAGCCUGCGAAGGUGUGCUGUGAGGCAUGCUGGAGGUAUCAGAAGUGCGAAUGCUGACAUAAGUAACGAUAAAGCGGGUGAAAAGCCCGCUCGCCGGAAGACCAAGGGUUCCUGUCCAACGUUAAUCGGGGCAGGGUGAGUCGACCCCUAAGGCGAGGCCGAAAGGCGUAGUCGAUGGGAAACAGGUUAAUAUUCCUGUACUUGGUGUUACUGCGAAGGGGGGACGGAGAAGGCUAUGUUAGCCGGGCGACGGUUGUCCCGGUUUAAGCAUGUAGGCUGGUUGUCCAGGCAAAUCCGGAUAAUCAAGGCUGAGGUGUGAUGACGAGGCACUACGGUGCUGAAGUAACAAAUGCCCUGCUUCCAGGAAAAGCCUCUAAGCAUCAGGUAACAUCAAAUCGUACCCCAAACCGACACAGGUGGUCAGGUAGAGAAUACCAAGGCGCUUGAGAGAACUCGGGUGAAGGAACUAGGCAAAAUGGUGCCGUAACUUCGGGAGAAGGCACGCUGGUGUGUAGGUGAAGUCCCUGCGGAUGGAGCUGAGACCAGUCGAAGAUACCAGCUGGCUGCAACUGUUUAUUAAAAACACAGCACUGUGCAAACACGAAAGUGGACGUAUACGGUGUGACGCCUGCCCGGUGCCGGAAGGUUAAUUGAUGGGGUUAUCCGUAAGGAGAAGCUCUUGAUCGAAGCCCCGGUAAACGGCGGCCGUAACUAUAACGGUCCUAAGGUAGCGAAAUUCCUUGUCGGGUAAGUUCCGACCUGCACGAAUGGCGUAAUGAUGGCCAGGCUGUCUCCACCCGAGACUCAGUGAAAUUGAACUCGCUGUGAAGAUGCAGUGUACCCGCGGCAAGACGGAAAGACCCCGUGAACCUUUACUAUAGCUUGACACUGAACAUUGAGCCUUGAUGUGUAGGAUAGGUGGGAGGCUUUGAAGCGUGGACGCCAGUCUGCGUGGAGCCAACCUUGAAAUACCACCCUUUAAUGUUUGAUGUUCUAACGUUGGCCCCUGACCGGGGUUGCGGACAGUGUCUGGUGGGUAGUUUGACUGGGGCGGUCUCCUCCCAAAGCGUAACGGAGGAGCACGAAGGUUAGCUAAUCCUGGUCGGACAUCAGGAGGUUAGUGCAAUGGCAUAAGCUAGCUUGACUGCGAGCGUGACGGCGCGAGCAGGUGCGAAAGCAGGUCAUAGUGAUCCGGUGGUUCUGAAUGGAAGGGCCAUCGCUCAACGGAUAAAAGGUACUCCGGGGAUAACAGGCUGAUACCGCCCAAGAGUUCAUAUCGACGGCGGUGUUUGGCACCUCGAUGUCGGCUCAUCACAUCCUGGGGCUGAAGUAGGUCCCAAGGGUAUGGCUGUUCGCCAUUUAAAGUGGUACGCGAGCUGGGUUUAGAACGUCGUGAGACAGUUCGGUCCCUAUCUGCCGUGGGCGCUGGAGAAUUGAGGGGGGCUGCUCCUAGUACGAGAGGACCGGAGUGGACGCAUCACUGGUGUUCGGGUUGUCAUGCCAAUGGCACUGCCCGGUAGCUAAAUGCGGAAGAGAUAAGUGCUGAAAGCAUCUAAGCACGAAACUUGCCCCGAGAUGAGUUCUCCCUGAGACUUUAAGUCUCCUGAAGGAACGUUGAAGACGACGACGUUGAUAGGCCGGGUGUGUAAGCGCAGCGAUGCGUUGAGCUAACCGGUACUAAUGAACCGUGAGGCUUAACCUU